CGAUCCCGUUACUAAAUCGAUCAACAACAAACACAAAGAAAUGAUGUAAACCCCGACAUCCAAAAAUAAAUAUAUGAUCAUCGCAUCCUGUAAGAAACUCCCAGAAAAUUCCCGAUUGUUCCAAAGUCCAUGAUGGUUUUUGAUCUCACGCCUGUCCGCCCACCUUCGGAAACAGUGGUACGAUGUCACUCGCGUCAUAGGUCAACGACAGUGUGCAGCGCUUGUUACUAUAGCAACCGUCCGAUGGAAGAUUAUAACUUUAAUAAUUAAUUUUAAUAAUAAUAAGUCAUAUGUUUUUAACUGAAAAAAAUAGUUCGAUGAACGUCUAGAUGUACUUACUUAAUUAAUAAGUGCAUUUUCUCCUUGAUACGUGUAUCCUAUCACCAAUAUAACCGUAAAUAAAGUGUUGAGUGCGUCGUUAAA
Molecule: long non-coding RNA, 423 nt
Organism: Gigantopelta aegis
Lineage: Eukaryota; Metazoa; Mollusca; Gastropoda; Neomphalida; Peltospiridae
Exons: 2
Source: RefSeq, a predicted model, not a curated record